AGUGAACGCUGGCGGUAGGCCUAACACAUGCAAGUCGAACGGCAGCACAGUAAGAGCUUGCUCUUACGGGUGGCGAGUGGCGGACGGGUGAGGAAUACAUCGGAAUCUACUUUUUCGUUGGGGAUAACGUAGGGAAACUUACGCUAAUACCGCAUACGACCUACGUGUGACAGCAUGGGAUCUUCGGACCUUGCGCGAUUGAAUGAGCCGAUGUCGGAUUAGCUCGUUGGCGGGGUAAAGGCCCACCAAGGCGACGAUCCGUAGCUGGUCUGAGAGGAUGAUCAGCCACAAUGGAACUGAGACACGGUGCAGACGCCUACGGGAGGCAGCAGUGGGGAAUAUUGGACAAUGGGGGCAAGAAUGAUGCAGCCAUACCGCGUGGGGGAAGAAGGCCUUCGGGUUGUAAAGACCUUUUGUUGGGAAAGAAAAGCAGCAGGUUAAUACCCCGCUGUUCUGACGGUACCCAAAGAAUAAGCACCGGCUAACUUCGUG
RNAcentral lists this ribosomal RNA (492 nucleotides) under uncultured bacterium. Its description in RNAcentral is "partial 16S ribosomal RNA". It matches the Rfam family "Bacterial small subunit ribosomal RNA", at positions 29 to 507 of the family's 1533-position model. The record is from RNAcentral.